GGUAGUGCUAUCUUUUCUAAAAUAAAACCUCCCUUGAACGCCUCGUGUGGUAUGUUUUUCUUGCUUUUUCGAUAUGCUUCAAUUGCUUCUACUGUUCUCUGUUUCGGAGGAAUGGUGGACAGUUGCCCAAUCUCAGCUGAAGCGACUCCAUGAUGGCAACUGAUGCUAUCUCCUGAUUGUCCAAAUCCACUACUUGCUUCAAUGUAGACUCCCUUUUUCGUAAUCCCUACGGUCUGAAUC
Molecule: unclassified non-coding RNA, 240 nt
Filed under: Hevea brasiliensis (rubber tree)
Lineage: Eukaryota; Viridiplantae; Streptophyta; Magnoliopsida; Malpighiales; Euphorbiaceae
Source: RNAcentral